This 1422-nucleotide ribosomal RNA is filed under the name uncultured bacterium. Its description in RNAcentral is "16S ribosomal RNA". It matches the Rfam family "Bacterial small subunit ribosomal RNA". The record is from RNAcentral.
AGAGUUUGAUCCUGGCUCAGAACGAACGCUGACGGCGUGGCUAAGACAUGCAAGUCGUACGGACAUUUUGAAUGAGUAAUCACGAAAAGUGUUAGUGGCGAAAGGGUGAGUAAUGCAUAGGUAACGUACCCUUAACUCUGGGAUAGCUGCGGUCUUCGGACCUUUAGCGAAAGUGCAGGUAAUACCAGAUAAUAUCAAAGAGCCGCAUGGUUUUUUGAUCGAAGGUUUCGGCCGGUUUUGGAGCGGCCUAUGUCGUAUCAGCUAGUUGGUGAGGUAAUGGCUCACCAAGGCAUCGACGCGUAGCGGGACUGAGAGGGUUGACCCGCCACAUCGGGACUGAGAUACUGCCCGGACCUCCACGGAGGGCUGCAGUAACGAAUAUUGCGCAAUGGACGAAAGUCUGACGCAGCGACGCCGUGUGCAGAAUGAAGCCCCUUCGGGGUGUAAACUGUUGUCAGGGACUAGAAAGGUAAUGCUUGUCAUACUUGAUCAAUCCCAAAGGAAGGACCGGCUAAAUUCGUGCCAGCAGCCGCGGUAAUACGAAUGGUCCAAGCGUUGUUCGGAAUCACUGGGCUUAAAGCGCACGUAGGCGGAAGAGUAAGUGUCUUGUGAAAUCCCCCGGCUCAACCGGGGAACUGCUCGGCAAACUACUCUUCUUGAGACAAGUAGGGGUACAUGGAACUCUAGGUGGAGCGGUGAAAUGCGUAGAUAUCUAGAGGAACGCCAGCGGAGAAAUCGGUGUACUGGGCUUGUACUGACGCUGAGGUGCGAAAGCGUGGGUAGCGAACGGGAUUAGAUACCCCGGUAGUUCACGCUGUAAACGAUGUCUACUAGGUCGUGGAGGUUCUAACGCCCUCGCGGCCGAAGCAAAAGUGUUAAGUAGACCGCCUGGGGAGUACGGUUCGCAAGGCUAAAACUUCAAAGGAAUUGACGGGGGCUCACACAAGCGGUGGAGCAUGUGGCUUAAUUCGAAGCAACACGAAGAACCUUAUCCUGGGUUUGACAUGCUUGGAUGCCCAUCCUGAAAGGGAGUAGGCUGCUCUUCGGAGUGAAACUUGCACAGGUGCUGCAUGGCUGUCGUCAGCUCGUGUCGUGAGAUGUCGGGUUAAGCCCCUUAACGAGCGAAACCCUUAUCGUUAGUUGCCCACGCGUCAUGGCGGGAACUCUAACGAGACUGCCGGUGUUAAACCGGAGGAAGGCGGGGAUGACGUCAAGUCCUCAUGGCCUUUAUGCCCAGGGCUGCACACGUGCUACAAUGGCGCGGACAGACCGAUGCGAUACCGCAAGGUGGAGCAAAUCGGAAAAAGCGCGUCCCAGUUCGGAUUGUAGGCUGCAACUCGCCUACAUGAAGUUGGAAUCGCUAGUAAUCGCGGAUCAGCUAUGCCGCGGUGAAUAUGUUCCUGAGCCUUGUACACACCGCCC